This 497-nucleotide ribosomal RNA is filed under the name uncultured bacterium. RNAcentral's name for it is "partial 16S ribosomal RNA". It matches the Rfam family "Bacterial small subunit ribosomal RNA", at positions 28 to 507 of the family's 1533-position model. The record is from RNAcentral.
GAUGAACGCUGGCGGCGUGCCUAAUACAUGCAAGUCGAGCGAACGGACGAGAAUCUUGCUUCUCUGAUGUUAGCGGCGGACGGGUGAGUAACACGUGGAUAACCUACCUAUAAGACUGGGAUAACUUCGGGAAACCGGAGCUAAUACCGGAUAAUAUUUUGAACCGCAUGGUUCAAAGGUGAAAGACGGUCUUGCUGUCACUUAUAGAUGGAUCCUCGCUGCAUUAGCUAGUUGGUAAGGUAACGGCUUACCAAGGCAACGAUGCAUAGCCGACCUGAGAGGGUGAUCGGCCACACUGGAACUGAGACACGGUCCAGACUCCUACGGGAGGCAGCAGUAGGGAAUCUUCCGCAAUGGGCGAAAGCCUGACGGAGCAACGCCGCGUGAGUGAUGAAGGUCUUCGGAUCGUAAAACUCUGUUAGUAGGGAAGAACAGAUGUGUAAGUAACUGUGCACAUCUUGACGGUACCUAAUCAGAAAGCCACGGCUAACUACGUG